This 273-nucleotide ribosomal RNA is filed under the name uncultured bacterium. Its description in RNAcentral is "partial 16S ribosomal RNA". It matches the Rfam family "Bacterial small subunit ribosomal RNA", at positions 524 to 796 of the family's 1533-position model. The record is from RNAcentral.
UACGGAGGGGGCGAGCGUUAUUCGGAAUUAUUGGGCGUAAAGGGCGCGUAGGCGGCUUGAUAAGUCAAAGGUGAAAUCCCUCGGCUCAACUGAGGAACUGCCUUUGAAACUGUCGGGCUUGAGGCCGGGAGGGGGUAGCGGAAUUCCCAGUGUAGCGGUGAAAUGCGUAGAUAUUGGGAGGAACACCGGUGGCGAAGGCGGCUACCUGGACCGGUUCUGACGCUGAGGCGCGAAAGCGUGGGUAGCAAACAGGAUUAGAAACCCCAGUAGUCC